CGCCAGCCCGCUCAGAAACUUAAAGGAAGUUGACGGGGGCCCGCACAAGCGGUGGAGCAUGUGGUUUAAUUCGAUGAUACGCGAGGAACCUUACCUGGGCUCAAAUGUAUGUUGACGUAUUCUGAAAGGGAUACUUCUUCGGACAAUAUACAAGGUGCUGCAUGGUUGUCGUCAGCUCGUGCCGUGAGGUGUCGGGUUAAGUCCCAUAACGAGCGCAACCCCUAUCAUUAGUUGCCAUCAGGUCAAGCUGGGGACUCUAAUGAAACUGCCUACGCAAGUAGUGAGGAAGGCGGGGAUGACGUCAAAUCAGCACGGCCCUUACGUCCAGGGCUACACACGUGCUACAAUGGCCGAUACAGAGGGCAGCUACCUGGUGACAGGAUGCAAAUCUCCAAAGUCGGUCUCAGUUCGGAUCGGAGUCUGCAACCCGACUCCGUGAAGUUGGAUUCGCUAGUAAUCGCGCAUCAGCCAUGGCGCGGUGAAUACGUUCCCGGGCCUU
This 499-nucleotide ribosomal RNA is filed under the name uncultured Sphingobacteriales bacterium. RNAcentral describes it as "bacterial SSU rRNA". It matches the Rfam family "Bacterial small subunit ribosomal RNA", at positions 903 to 1382 of the family's 1533-position model. Lineage: Bacteria; Pseudomonadati; Bacteroidota; Sphingobacteriia; Sphingobacteriales. The record is from RNAcentral.